AUCAAUGACUUCUGGGCUGCUGUAAAAAAAAAAAACAAACAAAAGAGGAGCGGCAGAGAGGAACUGUGCUGGUUUCCUACCCAUCAGUACAGUACAGAACCCCACCACCUCACACAGCUGCUGCAAUACAGGAAUUGCCUGUUUGGCAAAGAUGCCACAAGAAGUCUCAAGGCUACUGACACAGUGGGAUGGCAGGAAAACCCAUGGCAAUGCAGACUGUAUGCACAGCAGAUGCAAGGAAAAAUGGAAUAAUGCAUAUUCCAGCACUGCCCUGUCUAUGCCAGCGUGAAGGUUAUCCUGAUUCCCUGGCACUGCCUCGGAGACGAACUGAAACCUCCAAUGAGGGAAAAUUCUGGUGCUGCGAUGGACCCUGAGCAAGCUAGAAGACCUCUGGUUCAGCCUCAUGAGAUUAAUCCAUAUCUGCUUCAUCCCAGCUACUGUCAGAUGCUCCAGCGGCUGCUGCGCACAGGAUGUGGCCAUCACAACCUCCCCUUCCCAGUCUACAGUUGUCUGCUCUAGUUUGAAGCGUCUGAAGCAACAGUGGAAACAGCUCGAAGGACUGAAGCCAGGCUGAACCGUCUAGGGUGAAGCACAGGGUCACUCCUCUUGCUGUGACCGAGGCUACCACCUGGCCACACAGCUCCUACAGCUCUGUGCCUGCACCCACACAAACCGCCUCACAUCCCCACACUCUCAAUUACGGACAUAUUUUAAGAGAUUUUUGCAGAGCUGCUCAGCUCUUUUGACAGAAGUCAAUGGAAAAAGUGUUCCUACUUGAGUAAGCAUGGACUUGGUAACACUGCCUGCACAAAAACAGCCCGCAGAGCAUGGAGCAGCGAUAAACAACUGGCAAUGAGGAGCCCAGAGCUUGAAAUGCCUCUCGGUUCAGCCUCCUGCCUGCGCAGGACAGAGAGCCCUUCCUGCAGCCCCGCAGGCUCCUGGGAUCUCGCGCAGCAUCACGCUCAGGCCAAUGCUGAGCACGGACAGCCAGCCAGCCCCAUGGCACAGACAGACAAACAGCCCCAUGGCUUGCUCUAGGCUUGUGAAACAUCACAAGGAGGAUAUUCCAGGCACCUGCACUUCUCCCACAAGAUCCCUUCACGGAGAGGUUUUCCCAUCUCAGCCUGUCACCGUGCUGGGGGAAAACAGGGCACAAUCAGAGCUGUGUGCCAACUGCUGAGAAACAGGGCUGGCAACACGGAGGCACAGUCUGCAAUGCAGUCCUUUGCCCUCCAAGAGGUGAGAUAUUUAGUCAAGUUACAUUGGAAUAAAGACAUCAGGAGUUGAUUAACGGAUUUCCGCCAAAGCAAACACAUUUAAGUCUUAUUUAUUGUUUCUCCUGCAGUAGCACUUCCAAAUGCCAGUUAUGAACCUGGGUUCCGCCGUGCCACCUACGGCUGCAACAGAUGAGCCCUGCUGUCGUUGUAUUUUACAAACUGUUCCUCUGUGUCACUUAACGUAUAGAAAAUCUUUAAAACCCUGUAAAAGUUGAUAAAUCGUAGAACAUCUUGAACUCCAAGUGAUAAAUCUGCUCUGGGGCAGACAAAGAGCUCAGCACAAUGUUGAUGCAUCUCCCAAGCCCUAUUCUAAGAGCUUAAAUGGCUCUUCAGCUUUGCAGCAGCCUCGCGCCAGCCUUGUGCACGAAGGUGAAUUUCAUGGAAAGAAUAAAAGAGAACCCCAGAAUCCUGGCCUUCAGCCCAUCUCUCAAUAAAACAAUUUUGAAUAUCCUAGGCUGUGUUAAAGCCAUUUCUGGGUGCAUACUGGCUUCAUUGCCAGUAUCUGACUCAUUAAUGGAAUAUACUUUGAGCCAAACUCUGAUCUCAUUUACAGCACUGUAAAUCCAGGGCAACCCAAUUGACUCCAGUGGAGUUACUCCAAAUUUCCCACAAUAGGUACUCAGCAGAUAGAUCAAAAUGUGGUGUUUUGGGUCUGAAAAAAGCUGAGGAAAGCCAAACUUCAUCCCAUUUGGGGUGGAGAGUAAGCUGGAAAGAGCGCCAGCCUAUCCCAGCUGCUGAAACAUGGUUUAUUUCACGUGUCAUAAUGUUGACACUUUGGAGGAGGGGUUUGUCCACUACUAUGAACAGUUUUCAUUAACUCCUAUAAAAAGAAGGAAUUAUAGCUGAGUUCUAUAUGAAAACAUGGAUUGCAAUGAUAAAUUAAAGAAUGACUUGCUUUGAAGUUGUUCUUGGGAACAAGCACUGCUUUCGGUGAUGCAUCCCCCUCUGCCUGGGCAUUCAAGGAGGUGCAGGUUCUGCUCAGAAAGUUGCUCUUAUUCAUUGCACCUAUUAAGCAAUAAGGUUGUGAGAUGAUAAAUCACAUCGGCUGGUAUUUGCAAACCCAUCUCAGCCAGCCUCGACACAUCCCAUCGCUCCUAACAGCUACGGGCACCUCAACCACUCAGUUACUUUAACCUCUCCAGCCUUGCUGGAUCACACCGCUCGCUGAGCUGGUUCUCAGCAGAAAGAGAAAGCUGCUUUUCCCCCAACAUGCUGAGUAGGAUGGGCAUGAAAUGACUCAGGCAGGGGGUCUCCAGCCUUGUCUCAGCAUUUCUUUGACUAAUCUUUAUUCAGAGAUAAGGCGCAAAGCCGUGCUUGGGUACCACUGGCAUAAAGCCAUAGGAGAAUCAGAGCUCACGUCCCCUAAAGCAACUGGCAAAAGGAGUUUUGCUCACGGCUAACGUGUCAGCGUGGAGCUUCUUGAUAUAAAUUGGUUACCCAGGCAAUUUGGGUGGCACAUGUUCCACUCCUAUUAAACAAAAUAACAGUUAUUGAUAUAUUUAAAGAAAAAAAAAAAAAAGGUAUUCAAGGGCUUGGAUCGCUAAGGGAAAGCUUGAGGCAGGGACAAAACGAGACACUGUCACUUCCUUCAUCACACAGCAGCAGGUUAAUGAGAAAACAAGGGCUGGGCAAGAGCCCUGUCAAAUUCCCAAGCAGCCUGCAUCCAUGUACACUCACACUUCAUUAGCAUCUCUGUGGGAGACCCAAGGGGAACUUGGAAGACUGAAAAACAAUUAGGAGGGGGGUUGAGAGCUAAGAGGACAGGGGAGCAGAACAGCUCGGGAAGAACUUGGAGGAAUGGUGUGUCCCAGAGAUCUUAACACAGGGAGAUGAAGGAACUCAGAUAGGGUAAAGAAACACAUUGGGGCUCCAAUCCUUCUACAAAGAAGUGGCCUGCUUGGACAUAGUCCACCUGCGGAACGAGGACCGGACUGCUGUUUAUUUUAUUUGCUGCUUGUUUAUCAUUAAUGUUGAAGUUUUCCUCAAGCAAUUUAACUGUGAAGUGAGGGUGGUAGGGACAAUUGGUAUUUUUGAGUAGGAUGCUUGCCACUAGGAAGAGCAAGCUCCUUCUUCCUUGGUUAUCCAGGAGGAUAAACAACAGCACUUGCCUCUUUGUGCCAGGGACGCGUACAGGGUGCAACACGCUGAAUGUUUGCCCUCGUGCAAGACCGCAGCGCACUGCUGAGCUCAUCGGCUUAGUCCUGCGCUAGCUCUACUGCCUCUGGUCCUUCAUUUACUUUGCACUCCUGCGCAGCUCAGUGUGACAUCUCCAGAAAUCUUAUCAACCCGAUUUUAAUGCAGAUAAUUAACUGCACUGAGACUUUGGACAGAGUGGCUCUGCGUGAACCUCACAGCAAACAGUGGGGGGAAUUACUGGCAACACAGUGGGCACAGAACCAGGCUGGUGAGGCUGGCAGGGAAAAGUAGGGUUUGAUUUUAAUAUACUGCCACUUCUGAACUAAUAGAGCGAAAUACAAGGGGCAUUGUAUGCCAAACUGGCACAUGACAACUACACUUCAUGCCCUGGCUGGGUGUUUCAAGGUGAUGUCAGAUUAUAUAUUAUAAAACUGCCAUUUGCAAAGCAUUCAUCCCCAAAUCUCAAGCACGGUCCACAGGCACAAGAUUAGGGUGUGUGGCGGCCCUAAUCCUGCUUUCAGCGGCAUCACCUGGGGGCCGUGAGAGCAGGAGAUGUUCCCUGCUGCACAGGAUUAUUCCCUGAGCUGCGCUGUUGUGUAGCCACAAGGACCUGAGGGAACAACUCCCAACCUUCUCCCUCAGAGACAGCAGCUACGCUCACGGCAGCCAACACAAAACACAGUUACCACUUGAAAAAGCAGGAGAGGAACUCCAGUACUAAGCCAAGCCGAAAACGGCCUUUUCCUCUAAUUUCCCUGUUCCUUCUGCAACCACCAGAUCACAAGACAAAUGCUGACUUUGCAGCACAUUAAGUGUACAAGUUACUCUCCUUUCCUGAGCUGUUCCAUGAAAUCCCAAGAUCACAGGUACCUGGACUGCCCAUCUUGUUGCAGAAGGGUGUUAUUAUCACCACAGAGUGUCUCUGUCUCAGAGGACAGCAGAAAAACACAUAUUUUGCUCAGAAAUACUCCGCUGAGUUAAUAAACCACUGCUGCCUUACUGCUUCUCGAACCCAGCUCACUGCACUCACUCGGGCUCCGAGAUCCUGCAGAUAAUCAGGUACUGCCACUGGUGUGAGCAAAAUACUACCCAGGGAGAACAGAAAAGAUUCUUAAUAGCAAAACUAACCCUGAAACCCGAGGUGUAGAUGAUAUAUUUAAUAAUUCACUGUAUUUGCA
Cuculus canorus (common cuckoo) is the source of this 4591-nucleotide long non-coding RNA. RefSeq lists it as uncharacterized. The transcript has 3 exons. Lineage: Eukaryota; Metazoa; Chordata; Aves; Cuculiformes; Cuculidae. The record is from RefSeq and is a predicted model, not a curated record.